Molecule: ribosomal RNA, 478 nt
Filed under: uncultured bacterium
Lineage: Bacteria
Description: partial 16S ribosomal RNA
Rfam family: Bacterial small subunit ribosomal RNA
Source: RNAcentral
GAUGAACGCUGGCGGCGUGCUUAACACAUGCAAGUCGAACGGGAAUUAUUUUAUUGAAACUUCGGUCGAUUUAAUUUAAUUCUAGUGGCGGACGGGUGAGUAACGCGUGGGUCACCUGCCUUAUACAGGGGGAUAACAGUCAGAAAUGGCUGCUAAUACCGCAUAAGCGCACAGAGCUGCAUGGCUCAGUGUGAAAAACUCCGGUGGUAUAAGAUGGACCCGCGUUGGAUUAGCUUGUUGGCAGGGUAACGGCCUACCAAGGCGACGAUCCAUAGCCGGCCUGAGAGGGUGAACGGCCACAUUGGGACUGAGACACGGCCCAGACUCCUACGGGAGGCAGCAGUGGGGAAUAUUGCACAAUGGGGGAAACCCUGAUGCAGCGACGCCGCGUGAAGGAAGAAGUAUCUCGGUAUGUAAACUUCUAUCAGCAGGGAAGAUAGUGACGGUACCUGACUAAGAAGCCCCGGCUAACUACGUG